CUAGAGAUAGAAAGUUACUUCGGUACAUCGGUGACAGGUGGUGCAUGGUUGUCGUCAGCUCGUGUCGUGAGAUGUUGGGUUAAGUCCCGCAACGAGCGCAACCCCUAUUGUUAGUUGCCAUCAUUCAGUUGGGCACUCUAGCGAGACUGCCGGUAAUAAACCGGAGGAAGUGGGAUGACGUCAAAUCAUCAUGCCCCUUAUGACCUGGGCUACACACGUGCUACAAUGGUUGGUACAACGAGUUGCGAGUCGGUGACGGCGAGCUAAUCUCUUAAAGCCAAUCUCAGUUCGGAUUGUAGGCUGCAACUCGCCUACAUGAAGUCGGAAUCGCUAGUAAUCGCGGAUCAGCACGCCGCGGUGAAUACGUUCCCGGGUCUU
This 378-nucleotide ribosomal RNA is filed under the name uncultured Streptococcus sp. Its description in RNAcentral is "bacterial SSU rRNA". It matches the Rfam family "Bacterial small subunit ribosomal RNA", at positions 1000 to 1382 of the family's 1533-position model. Lineage: Bacteria; Bacillati; Bacillota; Bacilli; Lactobacillales; Streptococcaceae. The record is from RNAcentral.